CGGCUUGAAUCUACCCGAUGCCAUCAGAUCUCGGAAGCUAACCAGUCAAG
This 50-nucleotide ribosomal RNA is filed under the name Eptatretus burgeri (inshore hagfish). The record is from RNAcentral. Lineage: Eukaryota; Metazoa; Chordata; Myxini; Myxiniformes; Myxinidae.